RNAcentral lists this small nucleolar RNA (110 nucleotides) under Erinaceus europaeus (western European hedgehog). Lineage: Eukaryota; Metazoa; Chordata; Mammalia; Eulipotyphla; Erinaceidae. The record is from RNAcentral.
CAGGACAAAUUAUUUAAUAAACAGAAACCCUCUUAUGUGCUAUACAAAUAGCUCAAGGUUAAUUAGCAGUAUAACUAAACAGUCAUGCUGCCAGUCUCCUUCACACAGUU